Molecule: ribosomal RNA, 231 nt
Filed under: uncultured bacterium
Lineage: Bacteria
Description: partial 16S ribosomal RNA
Rfam family: Bacterial small subunit ribosomal RNA
Source: RNAcentral
CGGACGGGUGAGUAAUGUCUGGGAAACUGCCCGAUGGGGGGGGAUAACUACUGGAAACGGUAGCUAAUACCGCAUAACGUCGCAAGACCAAAGAGGGGACCUUAGGGCCUCUUGCCAUCGGAUGUGCCCAGAUGGGAUUAGCUAGUAGGUGGGGUAAUGGCUCACCUAGGCGACGAUCCCUAGCUGGUCUGAGAGGAUGACCAGCCACACUGGAACUGAGACACGGUCCAG